RNAcentral lists this long non-coding RNA (663 nucleotides) under Lynx pardinus (Iberian lynx). Lineage: Eukaryota; Metazoa; Chordata; Mammalia; Carnivora; Felidae. The record is from RNAcentral.
GACCCUCUGAGUAGAUUUCUUCAUUUGGAGUUUUAUGGUGUUCUUGCUGAUAUCGUGGGUUCUUGCUUUCGUGAUUUCAGGUGUGUUAAGCUACUGUGACAGAUACAGUGAAGGCAUGAAACGUGUCCUCAAGACUUUUGGACCCAUUCCAGAGUUUUCCGGGGCCACUGUUGAAAAAGUUAACCAGGUACGCAGACCCCUUCUAGAGACUCGUGCGGGCCGAGGGGAAGCCCUGUUGCCACAGGUGACGUUUUAUUUGUAGCCAGGCUUUGCCUUGGAUCCUGGUGGUUCCUCACUCCUGACUUGGCGUCCACGGUCCUGUCGUGGUCACAGGAGACCUUAGAGCGGUGUGACCGAUGAACUGGUGGCUCGUCUGAAUGGUCUCAGAGGAGCUGCAGGCCUCUGUGGAUUCGGAAGGUUUAUGUUAAUUGAGGGGUUACUAAGCUGCUUUUGUUUUUAAGAGCAAAUGCACAGUUUGAAUAGCUAGGAACAGUUACUCUCCUGGUACGUUAGUUCCUCUGCACGCUCUGGGAUUUUUUGUCUUGUCUUUUCUCUUCCUAUUCCCAGGCCAUGUGUCUGAAGGUUCCCGCGGAUCCGGAGCAUUUAGCUGCCAGACGGCGGUGGAGGGACGAAUGUCUGCAGAGACUCGCCAAGCUGAAAAGG